This 500-nucleotide ribosomal RNA is filed under the name uncultured bacterium. Its description in RNAcentral is "partial 16S ribosomal RNA". It matches the Rfam family "Bacterial small subunit ribosomal RNA", at positions 30 to 523 of the family's 1533-position model. The record is from RNAcentral.
AUUGAACGCUGGCGGAAUGCUUUACACAUGCAAGUCGAACGGCAGCACGGACUUCGGUCUGGUGGCGAGUGGCGAACGGGUGAGUAAUGUAUCGGAACGUGCCCAGUCGUGGGGGAUAACGUAGUGAAAAUUACGCUAAUACCGCAUACGAUCUAUGGAUGAAAGCGGGGGAUCGCAAGACCCCGCGCGAUUGGAGCGGCCGAUAUCAGAUUAGGUAGUUGGUGGGGUAAAGGCCCACCAAGCCAACGAUCUGUAGCUGGUCUGAGAGGACGACCAGCCACACUGGAACUGAGACACGGUCCAGACUCCUACGGGAGGCAGCAGUGGGGAAUUUUGGACAAUGGGCGGAAGCCUGAUCCAGCCAUGCCGCGUGCAGGAUGAAGGCCCUCGGGUUGUAAACUGCUUUUGUACAGAACGAAAAGGUUUCUACUAAUACUAGGAGCUCAUGACGGUACUGUAAGAAUAAGCACCGGCUAACUACGUGCCAGCCGCCGCGGUAA